AACGAACGCUGGCGGCGUGGAUUAGGCAUGCAAGUCGAACGAGAAAGGUCCCUUCGGGGGCUGAGUAAAGUGGCAAACGGGUGAGUAACGCGUGGGAAACCUGCCCUUCAGUUGGGGAUAACACCUCUAACGGGGUGCUAAUACCGAAUUCGUUCCCCGGGUCACAUGGCCUGGGGAGGAAAGUGGCCUCUGCUUGCAUGCUGCCGCUGAAGGAUGGUCCCGCGUCCCAUUAGCUAGUUGGUAGGGUAACGGCCUACCAAGGCGACGAUGGGUAGCCGGCCUUAGCGGGUGACCGGCCACACUGGGGAUUGAGAAACGGCCCAGACUCCUACGGGUGGCAG
Molecule: ribosomal RNA, 341 nt
Filed under: uncultured Latescibacterota bacterium
Lineage: Bacteria; Pseudomonadati; Candidatus Latescibacterota
Description: bacterial SSU rRNA
Rfam family: Bacterial small subunit ribosomal RNA
Source: RNAcentral